AGGUAACGUGAGGGAGGAAAGCUGGCCGCACCACAGAACUUACUGAACAAGAGAGGAGAACCAAGACCUCAGCAGGACUCUGACCAAGGAGACAUACAGGCUUCAGUUAACUUCAGGUUGUCCUGGAAACAGGAUUCCAAUCGUUAUAAUAAAAUCAUGUGCUAAUAACAAAAGCAAUAAUUAGAUCUGGAUUCACACACAGACUCAACUCCGUCAUGGGAAAAGAUCCUAGAGGAGCUUAAAUACAUUUUUGCCUGAGGUAAAGUCCUAACGAGGAAGGAUUAAAGAAUGAAAGAGAUGAGUUGGAGUGUUGUAUUCAGGAAUAUGGCUACCUGAACAUGGCUAUGCUGCUUCUGUUGCCACUGACCCAGCCGCCACCCGCUCUGUGCAGCAGAAGCGGCCCACAAGGAGCUCAUCCUCUGGGCGUCCUGUGUGAUUAGGCACGCAGUUAAAGAACUCUUCACUCACUGGUCCUCCUCAUUACUGCCCUCAAGGCCUUGCUCUCUGGGGAAGGAGAAAUUAAGGGUCAGUAAAUUUAUCCUGAAUCCUCACAAGAACCCUGUAAAUCCCAGCACUCGGGAGGCUGAGGUAGGAGGAUUGCCAUGCGUUCGAGGCCAGCCUGGGCUACACAGUGAGUCCAGGCCAGCGCGAACUAUGCUGGGAGACCCCAUCUGAAAGUAAAAAGGAACCGUAUGAAUUAUAUCCUAUCAUCACCAUCAUCUUCAUUUCACAUAUAAGUUGUAUCUCAGUCCGCUAAUGAUUUUGUUUGUGAACAAUUUGGUUCACAAAGACAAGCAUUUAGCAAAAUUUUGUUCUUGUUUGUGCACCUUGCGUAGGGCGAUGAACGUGACCAUGGCCAUCUUUCUCACAGGAACGUGAACAUGACCAUGUGUUCCAGCACGGCAGAAGGAAUUAAGUCUAUGAACCGAGGUACCGCAGUAUUUCACAGUGGACCGGGACAGGAAGGAACAGCACCACAAGGGUCGGCUUCUCCAUGCAGGGAUGUCAUCCGUAACUGCUGCAGUUUUAACAUGUGGCGAGGGAGCCAAGGAGACGAGCAAAGGAAUGAGCACACGAAGGAGAAAGGAGUGAAUGGAUCAAAAGGAGAAGGAGCUCUGUGGACGGGGCUCUCCUUCCUCACGGAGAAGCAAUAUGGAGGCACCACAACAGGGGAGAAAUACAAAGACACAGUAGUAACAGAGAGGACACAGCUCUGCUUUUGUAUCCUGUGUUGGUGUUUGUUUUGUUUUUUAAUGAAGAAUUGCAUGAACAAGAACUGGACUCUGUGUUGUCAGAACAAACCACUGACUCACCCUCCAUCUCAGAAUCAUAAUCUGGAUUUAAAAAAAUUAAUACAAAGAGAAGUACAAAAGAAAAAACAAUACCAAAUGAUAUAUAUCCUUACUUGGUGUGGUGGGCUGACAACUGGUCAUCAACUUGUAAGCCCCAGCUGAACUGAAUCAGCAUGCUGCUGGGUGUGGGAGGCACCUGGGGACUGUUGCCAGCAGCAUAAAAGGCAGAGCUGGAAAGAAAGAAGUGUGGAGGCUGCUGGGAGCUGGUAGAAGCUGUUGGGAGCCUACUGGAAGUGGAGAGAAGCUCUAAGGAGCUGUUGGUUCUCUUGGGGGAGCUUGUCUGCUGGCUUUCCGCUGAACUCAGCUGUUUUCAUUGUCCGAGGAGUGCAGGACCCUUGUUGUCACUGAGAAUGGCUUCGGUUCACUUUGGGGGAGCUCUGGUCCUCACUUUGAGCGUCACUUCCUGACUCCAGAAGAGAAGAUGGUGCACUGCUCAGUCUCCUGGAGAAGGUUGUCGCGUUGGCUUCCCUGAUGGGAGCUCAGCUGUCCUCAUCACUGGAAGAGCUUGAGACUUCUCUGUUGCUGAGGAUGGCUGUGGUAUUUUCAGGGGACCUCUGGAUCUUACUUUGAGUGUUGCUUCCUGGCUCCAGUGCAGAUCCCUCAGCACGCUAGCACAGAUCAUUCGUAUCUUUGGCAUAGACCUUCUAGCUUCCACCACUGACCUUUGGCCUAUCCCAGCACAGAUCUGUGAAACAGGCCUGCAUGAGACAUUGUCAUGGGCUCUAGGCCUCCAGAUGGACUCACUGAAGUUAUUGUUAUGGGCUCUAGGUCUUCAGCAGGACUCAUGUAGGACAUUACCAUUAGAUCCAGGCCCUCAGCUGCAUUCUUUGGUCUUUAGUGUGUGGACAGAUUUCCUGCAGUCUUUGUAUGUGAAUCUUUAGGUGACUAUUACAAAAUAAUCUCAUAAAAUAUGUGUCCUGUAUUAUAUUGUUUUCCUUGCAAAAAUCCCAAACCACAACACUUGGCUUUGCAAUUCAGUCAGUCACAUAAAUAGAGAGACCAAGGCCUAGUAUUUGAGUGACAUUUGAAUAGAUAAGAUAUUAGAUGAACAAGAUUAUGCUGAAGUAAUGAAAACCUUGACAAAAAAGAAAAUGCAGGGGGCUUGAAGGGGGCUGGUACUGGGAAUUGAACCCAGGGUCUUCAAACCGAGCUACAUUUUCAACCCCUUUUAAAUGUAGUUUUUUGUUGUUAUUUUGGGUUUUGCGGGGGAGUUGGUUUUGUUUUAUUUUGUUUGGGGUUUUUUUUGCAACAGGUUGUCCCUAAGUUGCUCAAUUGCCAGGCUGGGCUUGAACUUGCCAUCUACCUGCCUCAUCCGCCCAGAGAGCUGGGAUAACAGCUGUCACCACAAUGCCCUCCUAGAAAAUGCAGUUUUUAGUAAUAAAGUGACUAUUUUCUUUACAUUUUCAUGGUCUAGAAAUGAAGAUUUUUCUCCCAAAUAAUAUGCAUAUUUAAUGUAAAAGCUUUACUUUUCCCCCAAUAACUUGUAUUAACUUGUUAGUAUAUUUUAUAAGUCAUGUUAUCUUGGAGCUAAUUAAAUUUGGAUAAUUUAAUACUUUGAACUUUGAAUCCAAAAUUGGAAUAGUAUAAAUCCAUCUAGGGAAGCCUCUGUAGGUUUGAAAUAAUUUUUCUGCUUCUGCUGAAAUUUUCUCCUUUCAAAGUGUGUUCCUUAUGUUCUGUGAGGGAGAGAAAAUGUCCUGAUUGAAAAAGUAGUGAAGUAUGUUGGACUUUUUCACCCUCUCACUUGAUUCUUUAAAAACAUGGGCCUUAAGUAAAUACUAAAAGGCUUAGAAAG
Molecule: long non-coding RNA, 3144 nt
Filed under: Chinchilla lanigera (long-tailed chinchilla)
Lineage: Eukaryota; Metazoa; Chordata; Mammalia; Rodentia; Chinchillidae
Description: lncRNA (ENSCLAG00000029308.1)
Source: RNAcentral